Molecule: ribosomal RNA, 779 nt
Filed under: fungal sp.
Lineage: Eukaryota; Fungi
Description: eukaryotic LSU rRNA
Rfam family: Eukaryotic large subunit ribosomal RNA (bases 514-779)
Source: RNAcentral
UGCGGAAGGAUCAUUACCGAGUGAGGGCCCUCUGGGUCCAACCUCCCACCCAUGUUUAUUGUACCUUGUUGCUUCGGCGGGCCCGCCUCACGGCCGCCGGGGGGCUUCUGCCCUCUGGCCCGCGCCCGCCGAAGACACCAUUGAACACUGUCUGAAGAUUGCAGUCUGAGCAAUUAGCUAAAUAAGUUAAAACUUUCAACAACGGAUCUCUUGGUUCCGGCAUCGAUGAAGAACGCAGCGAAAUGCGAUACGUAAUGUGAAUUGCAGAAUUCAGUGAAUCAUCGAGUCUUUGAACGCACAUUGCGCCCCUUGGUAUUCCGGGGGGCAUGCCUGUCCGAGCGUCAUUGCUGCCCUCAAGCACGGCUUGUGUGUUGGGCCCCGUCCUCCUUCCCGGGGGACGGGCCCGAAAGGCAGCGGCGGCACCGCGUCCGGUCCUCGAGCGUAUGGGGCUUUGUCACCCGCUCUUGUAGGCCCGGCCGGCGCUUGCCGACAACCAUCAAUCUUUUUUCAGGUUGACCUCGGAUCAGGUAGGGAUACCCGCUGAACUUAAGCAUAUCAAUAAGCGGAGGAAAAGAAACCAACAGGGAUUGCCUCAGUAACGGCGAGUGAAGCGGCAAGAGCUCAAAUUUGAAAGCUGGCCCCCUCGGGGUCCGCAUUGUAAUUUGCAGAGGAUGCUUCGGGAGUGGCCCCCAUCUAAGUGCUCUGGAACGGGCCGUCAUAGAGGGUGAGAAUCCCGUAUGGGAUGGGGUGUCCGCGACCAUGUGAAGCUCCUUCGACGA